UUAUGUGGCGCCAUGGGCCCCUUGGGCUGACUCCACCAGCCCACUAAGGACUUAUGGCGCCACCUUAGUGCCUUGGGCUCACUCCCGGGUGGGUGGGCCCCUCCCGGUGAACUCCCAGAACCCAUUUGUCACACCCGGUACACUCCCGAAUUGCCCGAAACUUUUCGGUGACCAAAUGAAACCAUCCUAUAUAUCAAUCUUUGUUUCCAGACCAUUCCGGAAACCCUCGUGACGUAUGUGAUCUCAUCCAGGACUCCGAACAACAUUCAUUAAC
Molecule: long non-coding RNA, 274 nt
Filed under: Hordeum vulgare
Lineage: Eukaryota; Viridiplantae; Streptophyta; Magnoliopsida; Poales; Poaceae
Description: long non-coding RNA (HVUL_LNC019703)
Source: RNAcentral